GGCCAGGGCAGGAUUAACGAAGGGAAAGUCUUGCUCUCAGUAUUUUAGCUGUAACCUUGGUAAAGAAAGCCAAAAGGGGCUUUCACACAGCACCUUACAAGCCUGUGUUAUCCUUGGGGCUUCUGCAGCCAAUGAAAGUUUGUCACGAUGAUGUAAUGCUCCUGAGUUGUGCUUCAGCCCGAGUAUGUGGUCACCGGGUCUCAUGCCUGAGAGCUAGGCUGCUCAUAGCUGCUUUGCAUGCCUCUCCAUCGACUCUGGAGUUCCUGGUGGAAGCACCUCUGUCUUACUCAGUUUUGCACUCUCAAUAUCUAUUCUGGCACCUAGCUCAUGAAUAGGUACAUGUUGGAUCAUACAAGGGAGAAUUCCGUGUUCACUGAGGAACAAAUAUAGAGAGUUACAUGAUUACGAGGGAAGAGAAACCACAUACUAUUGGAUAGAACAAGAAGACUUCGCAAGCCUAGUCAUAUGUGGUGUGG
RNAcentral lists this long non-coding RNA (476 nucleotides) under Cricetulus griseus (Chinese hamster). RNAcentral describes it as "lncRNA (ENSCGRG00015034411.1)". The record is from RNAcentral. Lineage: Eukaryota; Metazoa; Chordata; Mammalia; Rodentia; Cricetidae.